RNAcentral lists this long non-coding RNA (1001 nucleotides) under Carassius auratus (goldfish). RNAcentral describes it as "lncRNA (ENSCARG00000010987.1)". Lineage: Eukaryota; Metazoa; Chordata; Actinopteri; Cypriniformes; Cyprinidae. The record is from RNAcentral.
AAAAAUGAUAGAAAAUAGAACGGAUUUGGUGAAAUACAUUUCCUGGCAGAUUUCAACUUUUCUUCUUCUCAGAGCAGGGAAAGAGAAACUUCAUGAGAAACUGAAGCAGGGCCAGAAAGUGCAAGAAGUGAAUGACAGUGGAUUUUAUGCAGGUUGAUGCAUCCAUGGCUGAUGGUUACCGUGGGCAACGCUCUCCUCACACGCCGCAGGAGAAGUUUGAGGGUUUGACUGUUCUCAGAGCACUUAAGGUGAAAUAUUACUCAGUCAUUACACAUACAAUGAUUCAUAAAAUUAUAGACCACAUAUACCCUAGAUAAUAUCGAAAAUAUCUGUUUUCCAGUUAGCUCAAGAUGGGCUGGUUGCAAGGUUGUUACACGAGAUCGGGGAGACUGUUAAAGUUCUGAUUGACCCGUACUUCAGAAGUCACUCUGUUCUCGACUUUGCUUACACACACUUGGAGUGCCGCUCCCAUCCCAGGGACACGUUCCUCUAAUAGGAACAGUCAUUCCCACAUAAACACACAUUAUUAACAGGGAUAAAAUCUUUCUUGGUGCAUAUAUGAUUUUAUGUAUAUGAAGGUCAUCAGGAGGGGCGUCCGGAUCUUUCUCAGUUCAUGUGGAUCACUGCAUCCUGGAGCCAGAAACCAGGCAGAAGAACCAGAGAAGCACCUGCUUACACUCAUCGAGAUCUCAGGUGCACAGUCGUGUACAAGAUAGAUGCACUGUAGGCAAAACACAAAAAAUAAAAAAUUAGGCUAAAUGAUAUUUUCCUCAAUCUGGAUAUGUUGUUUUCACUGAUUCACUUAAUUCAGAAGAUUCAAGAUUCAGAUGAUCAAAGGGUGUGGUAAAAAUUCAGAAUAGGACUUCAAGCUUCUAACACACAAAGUUACUAAACAUUUUACACUUAAUGUUAAUGACUGGCUACAGUUACUGCUGGAAAUGUUUAAUAUAAAGUGUAUAUAAACACUGCUUUACACACAAUCCCUUACUGACAACAUUUUU